This 125-nucleotide small RNA is filed under the name Marmota monax (woodchuck). The record is from RNAcentral. Lineage: Eukaryota; Metazoa; Chordata; Mammalia; Rodentia; Sciuridae.
GCCGGGCGUGGUGGCUCACACCUGUAAUCCCAGCAGCUAGGGAGGCUGAGGCAAGAGGAUCCUAAGUUCAAAGCCAGCCUCAGCAAUGGCAAGGUGCUUAACAACUCCGUGAGACCCUGUCUCUC